GACGAACGCUGGCGGCGUGCUUAACACAUGCAAGUCGAGCGGAAAGGCCCUUCGGGGUACUCGAGCGGCGAACGGGUGAGUAACACGUGAGUAACCUGCCCCAGACUUUGGGAUAACCCUCGGAAACGGGGGCUAAUACCGGAUACGACACAGCUUUGCAUGGGGUCUGUGUGGAAAGUUUUUCGGUUUGGGAUGGGCUCGCGGCCUAUCAGCUUGUUGGUGGGGUGAUGGCCUACCAAGGCGACGACGGGUAGCCGGCCUGAGAGGGCGACCGGCCACACUGGGACUGAGACACGGCGCAGACUCCUACGGGAGGCAGCAGUGGGGAGUAUUGCACAAUGGGCGGAAGCCUGAUGCGACGACGCCGCGUGAGGGAUGACGGCCUUCGGGUUGUAAACCUCUUUCAGCAGGGACGAAGCGUAAGUGACGGUACCUGCAGAAGAAGCGCCGGCCAACUACGUG
Molecule: ribosomal RNA, 462 nt
Filed under: uncultured bacterium
Lineage: Bacteria
Description: partial 16S ribosomal RNA
Rfam family: Bacterial small subunit ribosomal RNA
Source: RNAcentral